This 73-nucleotide transfer RNA is filed under the name Candidatus Kaiserbacteria bacterium. RNAcentral's name for it is "tRNA-Thr". It matches the Rfam family "tRNA". Rfam says of the family: Transfer RNA (tRNA) molecules are approximately 80 nucleotides in length. Lineage: Bacteria; Candidatus Kaiseribacteriota. The record is from RNAcentral.
GCCGGGGUAGCUCAGUUGGUAGAGCGACGCACUCGUAACGCGUAGGUCAGCGGUUCAAUCCCGCUCUUCGGCU